GAGGUGGCAGCGCGAGAGUAGCAAUACUUUUGGCGGCGACCGGCGCACUGGUGAGUAACACGUAUGCGACCUGCCCCGUGCUGGGGGAUAACCCCGGGAAACUGGGCCUAAUACCCCAUGAGCCACGGAAUCGCAUGGUUUUGUGGUAAAAGGAUUUCCGGCGCGGGAUGGGCAUGCGGCGCAUUAGCUAGUUGGUGAGGUAACGGCUCACCAAGGCGACGAUGCGUAGGGGUUCUGAGAGGAAGGUCCCCCACACUGGUACUGAGACACGGACCAGACUCCUACGGGAGGCAGCAGUGAGGAAUAUUGGUCAAUGGACGGUAGUCUGAACCAGCCAAGUCGCGCGCGGGAUGAAGGCCCUUUGGGUCGUAAACCGCUUUGGUCGGGGAGCAACGUGCGGGACGUGUCCUGCAGUGAGCGUACCCGAAGAACAAGCAUCGGCUAACUCCGUGCCAGCAGCCGCGGUAAUACGGAGGAUGCGAGCGUUAUCCGGAUUCAUUGGGUUUAAAGGGUGCGCAGGCGGCACAUCAAGUCAGCGGUCAAACUGCGGCGCUCAACGCCGUAUCGCCGUUGAACUGAUGAGCUUGAGUGCGUGCGAGGGAGGCGGAAUGCGCAGUGUAGCGGUGAAUGCAUAGAUCUUUGCGCAGAACUCCGAUUUGCGGAAGGCAGCUUCCCAGCGCGCCACUGACGCUCAUGCACGAAAGCGUGGGUAUCGAACAGGAUUAGAUACCCUGGUAGUCCACGCGGUAAACGAUGAUCACUGGCUGUGCGGUUUAAUUGCGAAUUGCGCGGCUGAGCGAAAGCGUUAAGUGAUCCACCUGGGGAGUACGCCGGCAACGGUGAAACUCAAAGGAAUUGACGGGGGCCCGCACAAGCGGAGGAACAUGUGGUUUAAUUCGAUGAUACGCGAGGACCUUACCCGGGCUCGAACUUCCCAUGACGAGCUGAAAGGCGUCACUCUCUUCGGAGCGU
This 972-nucleotide ribosomal RNA is filed under the name uncultured bacterium. Its description in RNAcentral is "bacterial SSU rRNA". It matches the Rfam family "Bacterial small subunit ribosomal RNA", at positions 64 to 1028 of the family's 1533-position model. The record is from RNAcentral.